Molecule: ribosomal RNA, 253 nt
Filed under: uncultured bacterium
Lineage: Bacteria
Description: partial 16S ribosomal RNA
Rfam family: Bacterial small subunit ribosomal RNA
Source: RNAcentral
UACAGAGGUCUCAAGCGUUGUUCGGAUUCAUUGGGCGUAAAGGGUGUGUAGGUGGCGCCGUAAGUCAGGUGUGAAAUUUCGGAGCUUAACUCCGAAACUGCAUUUGAUACUGCGGUGCUUGAGGACUGGAGAGGAGACUGGAAUUCACGGUGUAGCAGUGAAAUGCGUAGAUAUCGUGAGGAAGACCAGUGGCGAAGGCGGGUCUCUGGACAGUUCCUGACACUGAGGCACGAAGGCCAGGGGAGCAAACAGG